AAGCAUGUUUCAGGAGACGGCAUAGUAUAGCAUCUAUCUUGGGUACUGUUAUCUUAGAUAUGUUUAUCUUGGUGCUGUUGUCAUGCACAAAAUACUUUUAUACUUUUGCCACCGAAGGCGUAUGCACCCUGCCAAUCGCUCAGGUAAAAGGACUGAAACACUCAC
This 165-nucleotide non-coding RNA is filed under the name Lwoffella lincolnii. RNAcentral's name for it is "Moraxella lincolnii Glycine sequence". It matches the Rfam family "Glycine riboswitch aptamer". From Rfam's summary of the family: This family represents the bacterial glycine riboswitch. Glycine riboswitches usually consist of two metabolite-binding aptamers domains with similar structures in tandem. The record is from Rfam by way of RNAcentral. Lineage: Bacteria; Pseudomonadati; Pseudomonadota; Gammaproteobacteria; Moraxellales; Moraxellaceae.